Molecule: ribosomal RNA, 501 nt
Filed under: uncultured bacterium
Lineage: Bacteria
Description: bacterial SSU rRNA
Rfam family: Bacterial small subunit ribosomal RNA
Source: RNAcentral
CCUGGUCAGGACGAACGCUGGCGGCGUGCCUAAUACAUGCAAGUCGAACGAACUGUGGAAAGCUUGCUUUCAGAGUUAGUGGCGAACGGGUGAGUAACACGUAAGUAACCUAGCUAUUAGACGAGGAUAACUACUGGAAACGGUAGCUAAGACUGGAUAUGAUAGAAAUAUUUAAAGGAUGCUAAGGCAUCGCUAAUAGAGGGGCUUGCGGCGCAUUAGCUAGUUGGUAGGGUAAAAGCCAACCAAGGCGAUGAUGCGUAGCCGACCUGAGAGGGUGACCGGCCACACUGGGACUGAGACACGGCCCAGACUCCUACGGGAGGCAGCAGUAGGGAAUCUUCGGCAAUGGACGAAAGUCUGACCGAGCAACGCCGCCGUGAGUGAAGAAAGUUUUCGGAUUGUAAAGCUCUGUUAUUAGGGAAGAAAGGCUCUAGGAGGAAAUGCUUAGGGAUUGACGGUACCUAAUGAGGAAGCCACGGCUAACUACGUGCCAGCCGCCGC